RNAcentral lists this ribosomal RNA (1186 nucleotides) under human gut metagenome. Its description in RNAcentral is "bacterial LSU rRNA". It matches the Rfam family "Bacterial large subunit ribosomal RNA", at positions 806 to 1987 of the family's 2925-position model. The record is from RNAcentral.
GACUUGUGGAUAGGGGUGAAAGGCCAAUCAAACCCGGUGAUAGCUGGUUCUCCCCGAAAUAUAUUGAGGUAUAGCCUCGGGGAUUGUCUGUCGGAGGUAAAGCACUGACAAGGCUAGGGGUCCUACCAGAUUACCAAACCUUUUCAAACUCAGAAUGCCGACAAGAUGUACCCCGGGAGUCAGACGGCGGGUGCUAAGGUCCGUCGUCGAGAGGGUAAGAGCCCAGAUCGACAGCUAAGGUCUCGAAAUCCAUGCUCAGUGGUGAAGGUGGUGGAGUUGUACAGACAGCCAGGACGUUGGCUUAGAAGCAGCCAUCGUUUAAAGAAAGCGUAAUAGCUCACUGGUCUAAUGACUCUGCGCCGAAAAUGUAACGGGGCUAAGCAUGGUACCGAAGCUUCGGAUUCCUCUUUUGAGGAGUGGUAGGGGAGCGUUCUCUAUGGGCAGAAGCUGCAUUGUAAAGUGCGGUGGACGGUAGAGAAGUGAUUAUGCUGACAUGAGUAACGAUAAAACAGGUGAAAAACCUGUUCGCCGAAAACCCAAGGUUUCCUGGGUAAAGUUAAUCUUCCCAGGGUGAGUCGGACCCUAAGGCGAGGGCGAAAGCCGUAGCUGAUGGAAAACGGGUUAAUAUUCCCGUACUUCUUAUGGUGUGCGAUGGAGGGACGCAGAAAGAUAGGUGGGCCAACUGUUGGAUGUUGGUGCAAGCUGGUAGGAAUGCCUCGCCGGCAAAUCCGCGAGGUGAAUCCGAGAAGCGAGUCCGUGGGCGCAAGCCCUGAAGCCAUUGAGUCUCCGCUGCCAAGAAAAGCUCCUAAGUUUAGCCAUGAGGACCCGUACUGCAAACCAACUCAGGUGGGUGGGAUGAAUAAUCCAAGGCGCUCGAGAGAACUCUGGCCAAGGAACUCGGCAAAAUGACCCCGUAACUUCGGAAGAAGGGGUGCUUUUUCAGGUGACCAUUUUUACAUUGGAAGCCAGAGGAAGCCGCAGUGAAUUGGUGGUGGCGACUGUUUACUAAAAACAUAGGUCUGUGCGAAGUCGCAAGACGACGUAUACGGACUGACGCCUGCCCGGUGCCGGAAGGUUAAGAGGAGAGGUCAGCGCAAGCGAAGCCUUGAAUCGAAGCCCCGGUAAACGGCGGCCGUAACUAUAACGGUCCUAAGGUAGCGAAAUUCCUUGUCGGGUAAGUUCCGAC